UCUGUUCUAUCAAGGCUUUCACCAUUUGAUAGGUUUCAAAGAGGUCACCCCCUCAUUCUUCUGAUUUACAAUGAGCGGAAGCCCAGUGCCAUCAAAAGCUCCUCAUAUGAUCAGUCUUUCAAUCCCAGAAUAAUUUUCAUGAUCCUCUCCAAUGUCAGCACAUCCUUUCUUAGAUACGGGACCUCAAACUGCUCACAUAACUCCAAAUGAGGCCUCAACAGUGCUUUAAAAGACCUCAACAUUACAUCCUUCCUUUUAUAUUCUAGUCCUCUUGAAAUAAAUGCCAUCAUUACAUUUGCCCCCCUGACCACUGACUUAACCUGCAAAUUAACCCUUAGGGAAAUCCUGCAUGAGGACUCCCAAGUCUCCUUGCGACUUAGGUUUUGAAUUUUCUCCCUGUUUAUAAAAUAGUCUAUGUUUUUAUUUCUUCUACCAAAGUGCAUGGCUAUAUACUUCCUGGCAGUGUAUUCCAUCUGUCACUUUCUCGAGAUUCCAGCAUCCACGGUCUCUUUUGACUGUAUUUUUAAACUCCCCUCUGAAGUCUAGACCUCAAUAGGGACAUACUUCAAAGUUGCCAUACUGUCAGUGAUGGUGCCAGUAUAAAUUUGCCAAUGACGCCACUGUUGUUGGCACAAUCUCAAAUGGCAGUGAGGAGGCAUACAGGAGUGAGAUAGACUGGCUGGUUGAGUGGUGUCUCAACAACAGCAUCAUACUCAACAUCAGAAAGACCAAGCAACAGAUAGUGGACUUCAGGAAGGGGAAGCCAGGGGAUCAUGCACCGGUCCUCAUUGAGAGGUCAGCACCGGAAAGGGUGGCUGUGGACAGUAAGAAUUUCCAGCUGUAUACUGUAUACAUUCUCAGAUAUUAAAUGGAGCCAUUGAACAUUCUGAGGCCAAAUCUGGAGCACCGUGUGCAGUUCUGGUCAUCUACCCACAGAACAAAUAACAAUAAGAUUGAAAUAGUACAGAGAAAAUUUACAAGAGUGUUGCUGGGACUUGAGACCAUUAGUUGUUGGGAAAGAGACUGCAGAGGUUGCAAUUACCCAGUCAGUGCCAGCACUGCAACAUCGGCGGGAGGGUGCCACGGGCAACCAAACAGGCCGUUCUGCCCAUCGGACCCGGACUAACCUGCAUCUGCCUUUCAGCGCUGUGCACCCAUCAGUAUACCUGUUUCUACCCGGGAAGGACCGUCUGUGAGAGUGGCAAUUCUAGAGCCUCGCCACACUCCGGGUGAAAUUAUAAUUCUGAUCUCUUUAUUAAUCCUACAAGAGACUGUCAGUUCCGCUGCAUCGCUACAAUGUAGAGGUCUUUAAAUUAAUUUCAUGCAUACUGGUUUACUUUGCAAAGUUUAUUUUAAUUGUAUAGAGGGAGAUGAUCUUGCAGUUAAAAGCCCUGGUACAUUAAAGGAGGGUAAAAUUGCUCUUUUCCUCUAUCUUCCCCUAAUCUGUUCCAAUUAACACCCCGGAGACCUUUCGAUUCCCCCCACGUAGUGCGGGUCUGACGCACAGAGAGUUUUGCAGUGGUUGAGUCACUCGCGUCAGGAGACAGUGCAUCUCCCAAAUAUAACCCGCGAUGACGGGUCCUGCAUAGCGAUGACUCCGUCCUUUAAACCUCAUUACCUCUGCUAGAGUUCCGGUCUGUAUGGAGGCGGAUCAGUUCUGCCUGUCUCUGGCCUCUGGUAAUGUGCUGGUCACCGGGACAGAACGGCGGAAUAUCAACGGAGCUUUCUCUCUCCCUCUCCCCCUCCUCUCCUCUCCUCUCUCCUCUCUCCCUCUCUCUCUCCUCUCUCUCUCUCUCCCUCCCUCUCUCUCUCUCUCCUCUCUCUCUCUCUCUCACCCUCUCCCUCUCUCCUUCCCUCCCACUCUGUCUGUAUCCCUCUUGCUCUCUAUUUCGCAAUCUCUACUUCACUAUCCAUCUCUAUAUCCCACUAUCACGACCUCACUAUCUCCAUCUCCAUUUCCACCGCUCACCCACCCCACCUUACGUCUGUCUCUCACCUCUAUCUUCUGUCUUUCUCCUCUCGUCUCCCUAUCUCUUCCUUGCUUCCAUGCCCAACUAAUCCAUCUCUUUCCAACCGCCUAAUCCACCUGUUAACUGGAAAUCUGAAACGAAUCUGCAGACAUUGGAAAUCUGAAAUCAAAACAGAAAAUGCUCCAACACUCAGCAGGUCAGGCAGCGGACUCUUUCCAAAGGAUUUUGGAUUUAAUCCAUCAGUAUCCAAGACCCAUCUAGGAAUUUCAUUGAUGCACUAUGUCUGUCCACCCAUGCCUCUGUCUGUCUAUGUAUGUAUCUGUCAUUCUGUCUAUCCAUGCGUCUGUCUUCUGUCUAUCUAUCUAUCCAUCUGUCUGUCUGUCUAACCAUGUGUCUGUCUGUCUGUCCAUCUGUCUAUCUGUCCAUUUGUCUGUGAAUGCUUUUCUAUCUAUAUCUGUCUGUCCAUUUGCCUAUCUAUUUAUCUAUCUACUGUAUAACGAUCUAACUAUAUUGCCCUUUCUCACUCAUAAUUCUCUCUAUUAGUUUAGCUAUCUAGCUCUAUUUAAUCAUAUAAUGUACCAGGGCAGUAUGGCACAGAAACCAUGCCGGCCACAGUGCAGCCACCACCCACCAGCAUCCCAAUUUCUUGUGUAUAGCUUGUAUUCCUGCAAGCCCUGCCCCUCCAUAUUCUUAAGCUCUGUACGCUCAUCAAUCCACCUAACUGUAAACAUGAGAAACUCUGCAGAUGCUGGAAAUCCAAAGCAACACACACUAAGUUGCAGGAGGAACUCAGCAGGUCAGGCGCCAUCUAGGGAAAUGAAGAGACAGUCGACGUUUUGGGCCGAGAUCCUUCUUCAGGUCUGGAAAGGAAGGGGGAAAAUGCUGGAAUAAAAUGGUGGGGGGAGAAGAAGGAAGAUGGUUAGAAGGUGAUAGGUGAGGCCAGGUAGGUGGGAAUCCACUCUGAGUGUGGCCUCAUCUUGGCAUAUCUUGACCGACAUGGUGGAACGGGAAUGGGGAUAGGAAUUAUAAUGUUUGGCCACCAGGAAGUUUGCUUUUGGCGGAUGGAAAGGAGGUGCUUGAUGAAGCGGUCCCCCAUUUACAACGGGCCUUAUCAAUGUAGAAGAGGCCGUAUCAGAAGCACUAGGCACAAUAGGCGAAAGCUGCAGAUUUGCAGGUGAACAUUUGCCUCUUUUGGAAGGACUGUUUGGGGCCCCGAAUGGAGGUGAGGGAGGACGUGAACGGGCAGGUAUAGACUAAAUGCAGGGAGGGAGAUUAGUGGUGAGGGAUGAAUGAAAUCGCAGAGAGCGCGAUCCCCGUUGAAUGCAGAGGGGGAGGUAAAGAUACGUUCAGUGGUAUGAUCCCUUUGGAGAUGGUAGAAGUAGUAGAGGAUGACGUGUGGGAUGUGGAAGUGCAUGGGGUGGUAGGUAAGGACUAGAGGAACUCUAUCAAUGUUACUGAAAAGGUAAAAUCAGCUGAGGGCAGGUAUCUAUAACUAUCUAUCUGGCUGCAUAUAUAGCCAACCCGCUUUACUAAGUAUCACACAAAUGGAGGAACUCAGCAGGUCAGGCAGCAUCCGUGGAGGGAAAUGGACAGUCAACAUUUUGGGUCAAGACCCUUUAUACUGUCCAGCUUCCUUAUGCUUAUUACUUCCCGGUAACUUGGUCCCAUUCACAUACCAAUCAAACUCCUACUGAAAUACACUACUCCUGAAUUCAUCAUCAUACAUUAUAUGCCAUAGGCGAUCAUAGUCUAUGACCAUGACUGUUCUUGGCAAAUUUUUCUGCAGAAGUGGUUUCCUGUUGCCUUCUUCUGGGCAGUGUCUUUACAGGACGGGUGGCCCCAGCCAUUAUCAAUAACCUUCAGAGACUGUCUGCCUGGCGUCAGUGGUCGCACAACCAGGACUUGUGAUGAGCACUGGCUUGCUCAUACGACCAUCCACCACCUGCUCCCGUGGCUUCACAUGACCCUGAACCGUUGGGGGGGGGGGGGGUGGGGGAUGGUCUAACCAGGUGACCUGCAGGCAAGUGGAGGAAAUUUUACACCUCCUUUGAUUAAGACGUAUUUCCACUCAACCACCCAAGUUCUGAAUUACCAGAGUCAAUUAAAAGAGCAACAAAUUUUAGAAUGUGGAAGGAAACAUGGAAGGAAACCCACACGGGACAAAUUCAUGAUUGCUCUGCCAUUUAAUGCAAAGGUUUAACAGUGCUAUUGUAUUGUACUACCCCUCCCCUCUAUUUUUAAUGGAAUAACAGAGAUAUAUUAAGGAUAAACAUUUGUUAUUUCGUUAUUUUUUGGGGACGUGAGGAAGGCCAGCAUGUAUUGCCUUAAGACCAUAAAACAUAGGAGCAGAAUUAGGCCAUUCGGCUCAUCGAGUCUGCUCCGCCAUUCCAUCAUGCCUGACACACCUGUACACCUGCUCGUUAAUCAAAUAUCUAAUCCCUGGACAGAGGACUGGGGAGCUGCUAUUGGUGGACUAUGCCCCAGUAGCAUUGAUUGGCUUAAGACGAAGAAGAAGAAGAAACAAAUCUUGAACCAGCAGUGCUGUAGGCAGUUAAUUAAAACCAGUCCAUUUAAUGGUCAGGGCAAUACUGGAAAUGAGGCCCCAAACAGUCCUUCACCUGAAAAUUUUUGGCGUUGUCUAUUUUAUCUGUUGCUCUCAAUACAGCUAUAUUGGUAACACGCAUCGCAUAGUGGGAGUCCUUCCCACCUUCUUAUUCUGGCUUUUUUCCCCUUCCUUUCCAUUCCAGAAGCCUUGAUUGUUUAUUCCUCUCCAUAAAUGCUACCUGAGCUGCUGAGCUCCUCCAGCAAUUUUGUACGUGAUGCUCCUGGAUUUCCAGCAUCUGCCAAAUCUUUUGAGUUUUAUUCUGACUGCUGCCUACAUUCAUUUCCAAUUCAGCAAAAAAACAAUUAUUUUUCAAUGCAUCAAAAUUCCUUUUGAGUCAUCCCAUAAGAUCAUAAUGGAAAUUCAGAGACAUGUCUUUACUGAUGCAGUGGUUCAAAGCGUGGGUAGCUAUUAACUUCCCAUCAGCUCAUGGCUUCUGCUUCUUGCAUGUCUAUAGCACCAACCAGACAUCCUCAAGGGUGGCAUGGUAAUGUAGUGGUUAGCACCACGCUUUACAGUACCAGUAACCCUGGCUUCAAUUCCCACCACUGCCUGCUAGGGAUUUGUACUUUCUCCCCAUGACCACGUGGGUUUCCUUUGGGUGCUCUGGUUUCCUCCAAAGAUGUACCAGUUGGUAGGUUAAUUGGUCAUUGUCAAUUGUCCCAUGAUUAGGCUAGAGUUAAAUCAGGGUAUUGCUGGUGAUGCAGCUCGAGGUGCUAGGAGAGCCUAUUCCAUACUGUAUCUCAAUGAAUAAAUAAAUCCUUCACGAGCAGGGAAGCAAGGCUCUACAAUGUUGCAUACACUUCCUGACACCAGUGUUUUCCAGUAUUCCAUCAUUGGACGUGAGUGUGUAUCAGAGACAAGGUGACCACUUAUCCUGGGCCACUGAACUUUGUCCUGGUCCAGAUAUGUGGAUGCUCUGGCCAAGAAGCCAUCGUAGGGUAAUGUAAUGGGUGGAAACAUGCAUAAUUGAAUUGACUUUAUUACUUACAUCCUUCAAAUACAUGAAGAGUAAAAAUCUUUGCGUUCCGUCUCCAUUCAAACAUGCAAUAUGCAAUUAUAGUCAUUUAUAAUAAAUAUUACGUACAACAGGACAGUUAAUAUAACAUGGAAAUACAGUAGCAUCAGCAUGAAUUAAUCAGUCUGGUGGCCUGGUGGAAGAAGCUGUCCCGGAGCCUGUUGGCUUUUAUGCUGUGGUACCGUUUCCCAGAUGGUAGCAGCUGGAACAGUUUGUGAUUGGGGUGACUUGGGGUUCCAAUGAUCCUUUGGGCCCUUUUUACACACCUGUCUUUGCAAAUGUCCUGUAUAGUGGGAAGUUCAAAGUAUGUAUGCAGUAUACAACCCUGAGAUUCAUCCUUCUACACACAGCCACAAUAAAAAGAAAACCAUUCAAACAAAAACAUCAAGCCCCCGACAGGCAAUAAAAAGAACAAAUCCUGCAAAUGGCAAAGAGAGUGAAAAGCACAGAAUACAAAACACCAAAUCACAAAGACAUCGAUCAAGAUAUAUUCAGUUCAGCUCGGUUGUUCAAUCCAGCAUCAUGUUUCUCGCUAUCUGCAGGUUGCACCGCUAAUCCGCCCUGAUCAAAAUCACACAAAACAGCAACGAGGAAAGGAGUGACCAGAGACCAGAAACACAUCAUAAUGUGAACUACAGAGUCCCAUCCACAAACCGUGUGGAUUAAACCUUGACCAAAACCCAUGGUCUCAGAACUAGA
Long non-coding RNA from Hypanus sabinus (Atlantic stingray), 6289 nucleotides. RefSeq lists it as uncharacterized. The transcript has 3 exons. NCBI's taxonomy places the organism in Eukaryota, Metazoa, Chordata, Chondrichthyes, Myliobatiformes, Dasyatidae. The record is from RefSeq and is a predicted model, not a curated record.